UGCCAGCCGCCGCGGUAAUACGUAGGGCGCAAGCGUUGUCCGGAUUUAUUGGGCGUAAAGGGCUCGUAGGCGGUUUGGUAAGUCGGGUGUGAAAACUCAGGGCUCAACUCUGAGACGCCACUCGAUACUGCCAUGACUAGAGUCCGGUAGGGGAGUGCGGAAUUCCUGGUGUAGCGGUGAAAUGCGCAGAUAUCAGAAGGAAUACCAAUGGCGAAGGCAGCUCUCUGGCUCGUCACUGACGCUGAGGUGCGAAAGCGUGGGUAGCAAAAGGGAUUAGAUA
RNAcentral lists this ribosomal RNA (280 nucleotides) under uncultured bacterium. RNAcentral describes it as "partial 16S ribosomal RNA". It matches the Rfam family "Bacterial small subunit ribosomal RNA", at positions 506 to 784 of the family's 1533-position model. The record is from RNAcentral.